Molecule: ribosomal RNA, 253 nt
Filed under: uncultured bacterium
Lineage: Bacteria
Description: partial 16S ribosomal RNA
Rfam family: Bacterial small subunit ribosomal RNA
Source: RNAcentral
UACGGGGGGGGCAAGCGUUGUUCGGAAUUACUGGGCGUAAAGGGCUCGUAGGCGGCCAACUAAGUCAGACGUGAAAUCCCUCGGCUUAACCGGGGAACUGCGUCUGAUACUGGAUGGCUUGAGUUUGGGAGAGGGAUGCGGAAUUCCAGGUGUAGCGGUGAAAUGCGUAGAUAUGUGGAGGAACACCGAUGGCGAAGGCAGCCCCCUGGGUUAACACUGACGCUCAUGCACGAAAGCGUGGGGAGCAAACAGG